Molecule: transfer RNA, 85 nt
Filed under: Ectopseudomonas mendocina
Lineage: Bacteria; Pseudomonadati; Pseudomonadota; Gammaproteobacteria; Pseudomonadales; Pseudomonadaceae
Also listed under: 84 other names
Description: Pseudomonas mendocina tRNA-Leu
Rfam family: tRNA
About the family: Transfer RNA (tRNA) molecules are approximately 80 nucleotides in length. Their secondary structure includes four short double-helical elements and three loops (D, anti-codon, and T loops).
Source: RNAcentral
GCGGACGUGGUGGAAUUGGUAGACACACCAGAUUUAGGUUCUGGCGCCGCAAGGUGUGAGAGUUCGAGUCUCUCCGUCCGCACCA